CCAGACGGCCGGAUGGCCGCGCCUUGCCGAUGGGGAAACCCGGCGGGGUGAGGAAAGUCCGGGCUCCACGGAAACACGGUGCCGGGUAACACCCGGCGGGGGCGACCCCCGAGAUAGCGCCACAGAAAGCAAACCGCCCGCACCUUGUCGGAGUUCACUCUGGAGACCGCGGGCAAGGGUGAAAGGGUGCGGUAAGAGCGCACCGCGCGCUUGGCAACAGACGCGGCAUGGCAAGCCUCUCCGGGAGCAAGACCGAGUAGGGACGGCACGAAUGGCCUCCAGGCCAUUCAGGCGGGUUUCCGCGCCGCUGUCCGGGUAGGUUGCGUGAGGUGGCUGGCGACAGUCACCCCAGAUGAAUGGCCAUCCUCCGGCCAGCUGCUUUGCAGCAGGCCAGGGACAGAACCCGGCUUACAGGCCGUCUGGCAGC
Molecule: RNase P RNA, 427 nt
Filed under: Rhodospirillaceae bacterium
Lineage: Bacteria; Pseudomonadati; Pseudomonadota; Alphaproteobacteria; Rhodospirillales; Rhodospirillaceae
Description: RNase P RNA component class A
Rfam family: Bacterial RNase P class A
About the family: Ribonuclease P (RNase P) is a ubiquitous endoribonuclease, found in archaea, bacteria and eukarya as well as chloroplasts and mitochondria. Its best characterised activity is the generation of mature 5'-ends of tRNAs by cleaving the 5'-leader elements of precursor-tRNAs. Cellular RNase Ps are ribonucleoproteins.
Source: RNAcentral